ACUCCUACGGGAGGCAGCAGUGGGAAUAUUGCACAAUGGGCGAAAGCCUGAUGCAGCAAUGCCGCGUGUGUGAAGAAGGCCUGCGGGUUGUAAAGCACUUUUAUCGGGAAAGAAAAACCAGGGCUAAUACCCUUGGUCUUGACGGUACCGUUGAAUUAAGCACCGGCUAACUCCGUGCCAGCAGCCGCGGUAAUACGGAGGGUGCAAGCGUUAAUCGGAAUUACUGGGCGUAAAGCGAGUGUAGGCGGCGACGUAAGUCGGAUGUGAAAGCCCCGGGCUCAACCUGGGAAUGGCAUUCGAUACUGCGUGGCUCGAGUCUGAUAGAGGGAUGUGGAAUUCCGGGUGUAGCGGUGAAAUGCGUAGAUAUCCGGAGGAACACCAGUGGCGAAGGCGGCAUCCUGGAUCAAGACUGACGCUGAGGCUCGAAAGCGUGGGGAGCAAACAGGAUUAGAUACCCCGGUAGGCUCUGCU
RNAcentral lists this ribosomal RNA (471 nucleotides) under uncultured bacterium. RNAcentral's name for it is "bacterial SSU rRNA". It matches the Rfam family "Bacterial small subunit ribosomal RNA", at positions 335 to 801 of the family's 1533-position model. The record is from RNAcentral.